AGGUCUAUCGCCAAGCGGUAAGGCAACGGGUUUUGAUCCCGUCAUCCCAUGGUUCGAAUCCUGGCAGACCUGCCA
This 75-nucleotide transfer RNA is filed under the name Vibrio cholerae. RNAcentral's name for it is "tRNA-Gln". It matches the Rfam family "tRNA". Rfam says of the family: Transfer RNA (tRNA) molecules are approximately 80 nucleotides in length. Their secondary structure includes four short double-helical elements and three loops (D, anti-codon, and T loops). Further hydrogen bonds mediate the characteristic L-shaped molecular structure. tRNAs have two regions of fundamental functional importance: the anti-codon, which is responsible for specific mRNA codon recognition, and the 3' end, to which the tRNAs corresponding amino acid is attached (by aminoacyl-tRNA synthetases). tRNAs cope with the degeneracy of the genetic code in two manners: having more than one tRNA (with a specific anti-codon) for a particular amino acid; and 'wobble' base-pairing, i.e. permitting non-standard base-pairing at the 3rd anti-codon position. Lineage: Bacteria; Pseudomonadati; Pseudomonadota; Gammaproteobacteria; Vibrionales; Vibrionaceae. The record is from RNAcentral.